RNAcentral lists this unclassified non-coding RNA (313 nucleotides) under uncultured Aspergillus. RNAcentral describes it as "sequence contains ITS1". The stretch from base 1 to 105 matches the Rfam family "5.8S ribosomal RNA", at positions 50 to 154 of the family's 154-position model. The record is from RNAcentral. RNAcentral also lists the same sequence under 1 other name. Lineage: Eukaryota; Fungi; Ascomycota; Eurotiomycetes; Eurotiales; Aspergillaceae.
GAAAUGCGAUAAGUAAUGUGAAUUGCAGAAUUCAGUGAAUCAUCGAGUCUUUGAACGCACAUUGCGCCCCCUGGUAUUCCGGGGGGCAUGCCUGUCCGAGCGUCAUUGCUGCCCUCAAGCACGGCUUGUGUGUUGGGCCCCCGUCCCCCUCUCCCGGGGGACGGGCCCGAAAGGCAGCGGCGGCACCGCGUCCGGUCCUCGAGCGUAUGGGGCUUUGUCACCUGCUCUGUAGGCCCGGCCGGCGCCAGCCGACACCCAACUUUAUUUUUCUAAGGUUGACCUCGGAUCAGGUAGGGAUACCCGCUGAACUUAA